AACGCACGAGACCUGCGGACCUGCGGAAGGAUCAUUAACGAGUUUUGACAAUUAGUCAAAAUCUCCCACCCUUUGUUUAUUUGAACUUGUUACUUUGGCGUUUCGAUUUUUUUCAAAAUGAAAAAAGCCAUUGACUUUUUUAUUAAAGUGAAUGUGUAUUCGCCAAAGAUUUUUUCUUUAACGCUUAAUUGUUUUUUAUAUCUGAGUUUUAUACCAAAAAAAAAGUAAAAACUUUCAACA
RNAcentral lists this unclassified non-coding RNA (240 nucleotides) under soil metagenome. RNAcentral describes it as "partial contains 5.8S ribosomal RNA, internal transcribed spacer 2, and large subunit ribosomal RNA". The record is from RNAcentral.